This 428-nucleotide long non-coding RNA is filed under the name Homo sapiens (human). RNAcentral describes it as "HSALNT0135377". The record is from RNAcentral. Lineage: Eukaryota; Metazoa; Chordata; Mammalia; Primates; Hominidae.
CGCCCUGUGCAUGCAAAUCAAGGAACUGACUUGAGAUGACUUUCAGAGCUCUGUCUCUUGUGUUUCUUUGGCCUGGAAGAAACAACGCCUAAGUUUUGAGCUGCAUGAAGCUGCCUGACAUCUAAGGAUCUCUGAAGAGAACUGGGACCUGAAACCCAUCUGAAAUGUAUCUGCAGACAGGUCAAGUUCAUCGAGAGUCACCUCCUGCCUGACACUCCAGUCAUUAAUUCCAGAUACAAUUAUGGGAGGAGAAGAGUAUCCUAAGUGGCCUGAACACCUAAAUAAAAUAAAUCUGACAAUGUUGCUGAGAACUUGCAGAGCUUUGAAGGAAGAAACUCAUGGCAGUAGGUACUUGCUUCUGGGGAUAGGGAUCUCCAGAUCAGCCUGAAGAUCAACAGGAUGAUGAGUCCACUGAAGAAGGUCACAAA